GAUGAAGAACGCAGCGAAAUGCGAUAAGUAAUGCGAAUUGCAGAAUUCCAGUGAGUCAUCGAAUCUUUGAACGCACCUUGCGCCCUUUGGCCAUUCCGAAGGGCAUGCCUGUUUGAGUAUCAUGAACACCUCAACUCUCAUGGCUCGCCAUGAUGAGCUUGGAUUUGGGGGUCUUGCUGGCCUGUGGUCGGCUCCUCUCAAAUGGAUCAGCUUGCCAGUGUUUGGUGGCAUCACAGGUGUGAUAACUAUCUGCGCUUGUGGUUUUCCAUCAGAUAACCUUCAGUGAUGGAGGUUCGCUGGAGCUCAUAAACGUCUCCCCUAAGCGGGGACAGCCCUUUGAAUGUUUGAUCUCAAAUCAGGUAGGACUACCCGCUGAACUUAAGCAUAUCAAUAAGCGGAGGA
This 402-nucleotide unclassified non-coding RNA is filed under the name soil metagenome. RNAcentral describes it as "partial contains 5.8S ribosomal RNA, internal transcribed spacer 2, and large subunit ribosomal RNA". The stretch from base 1 to 122 matches the Rfam family "5.8S ribosomal RNA", at positions 35 to 154 of the family's 154-position model. The record is from RNAcentral.